AGGGCACCACCAGGAGUGGAGCCUGCGGCUUAAUUUGACUCAACACGGGGAAACUUACCCGGCCUGGACACUGGAAGGAUUGACAGAUUGAGAGCUCUUUCUUGAUUCAGUGGGUGGUGGUGCAUGGCCGUUCUUAGUUGGUGGAGCGAUUUGUCUGGUUAAUUCCGAUAACGAACGAGACUCUAGCCUAUUAAAUAGGCUCCCGGCUUUUAAACGCCGGGAGGACUUCUUAGAGGGACAGGUGGCGGUUCAGCCGCACGAAAGAGAGCAAUAACAGGUCUGUGAUGCCCUUUGUUGUCCGGGGCCGCACGCGCGCUACACUGAAGAGAUCAGCGUGCUUUAUGUUCCUGCUCCGACCGGAGUGGGGAACCCAGUGAACCUUCUUCGUGAUUGGGAUAGAAGAUUGUAAUUAUUCUUCUUGAACGAGGAAUUCCCAGUAAAUGCGAGUCAUAAGCUCGCGUUGAUUACGUCCCUGCCCUUUGUGCACACCGCCCGUCGCUACUACCGAUUGAACGAUUU
RNAcentral lists this ribosomal RNA (519 nucleotides) under uncultured eukaryote. RNAcentral's name for it is "SSU rRNA". It matches the Rfam family "Eukaryotic small subunit ribosomal RNA", at positions 1161 to 1699 of the family's 1831-position model. The record is from RNAcentral.